RNAcentral lists this ribosomal RNA (253 nucleotides) under uncultured bacterium. Its description in RNAcentral is "partial 16S ribosomal RNA". It matches the Rfam family "Archaeal small subunit ribosomal RNA", at positions 474 to 727 of the family's 1478-position model. The record is from RNAcentral.
UACCAGCACCCCGAGCGGUCGGGACGUUUAUUGGGCCUAAAGCAUCCGUAGCCGGUUCUACAAGUCUUCCGUUAAAUCCAACUGCUUAACAGGUGGGCUGCGGAAGAUACUAUAGAGCUAGGAGGCGGGAGAGGCAAGCGGUACUCGAUGGGUAGGGGUAAAAUCCGUUGAUCCAUUGAAGACCACCAGUGGCGAAGGCGGCUUGCCAGAACGCGCUCGACGGUGAGGGAUGAAAGCUGGGGGAGCAAACCGG